CCUACCCACAGCAUCCUCCCCGCCUUCAGACAGUUCCAGGAACAGGGGGGCCAUGGCUGCUGCCUGCUGCAGGGUCACUGCGUGAUGCGAGCAUCGCAGCAUCUCAGUUUUGGAUCCUAAAAUCAACCAAAGGCAGAAUCUGACCGCUUUCCAAAGCAAUGAUCCUUUAGAUUGAGAACAAAAUGGUGGA
Piliocolobus tephrosceles (Ugandan red Colobus) is the source of this 190-nucleotide long non-coding RNA. RefSeq lists it as uncharacterized. The transcript is spliced from 3 exons. Lineage: Eukaryota; Metazoa; Chordata; Mammalia; Primates; Cercopithecidae. The record is from RefSeq and is a predicted model, not a curated record.